GAUCCUGGCUCAGGAUGAACGCUAGCUACAGGCUUAACACAUGCAAGUCGAGGGGAAACGACAUCGAAAGCUUGUCUUUUGAUGGGCGUCGACCGGCGCACGGGUGAGUAACGCGUAUCCAACCUGCCCGACCACUUGGGGAUAACCUUGCGAAAGUAAGACUAAAUACCCAAUGACAUCCCACGAAGACAUCUGAAUGGGAUUAAAGAUUUUAUCGGUAGAUGGAUGGGAUGCGUUCCAUUAGUUUG
RNAcentral lists this ribosomal RNA (248 nucleotides) under uncultured bacterium. RNAcentral describes it as "partial 16S ribosomal RNA". It matches the Rfam family "Bacterial small subunit ribosomal RNA", at positions 15 to 248 of the family's 1533-position model. The record is from RNAcentral.